GAUGAACGCUGGCGGCGUGCCUAAUACAUGCAAGUCGAGCGAACAGACGAGGAGCUUGCUCCUCUGACGUUAGCGGCGGACGGGUGAGUAACACGUGGAUAACCUACCUAUAAGACUGGGAUAACUUCGGGAAACCGGAGCUAAUACCGGAUAAUAUAUUGAACCGCAUGGUUCAAUAGUGAAAGACGGUUUUGCUGUCACUUAUAGAUGGAUCCGCGCCGCAUUAGCUAUUUGGUCAGGUAACGGCUUACCAAGGCAAUGAUGCGUAGCCGAACUGAGAGGGGGAACGGCCACAAUGGAGAUGAGACACGGUCCAAACUCCUUAGGGAGGCAGCAGUAGGGAAGACUCCCCAAUGGGCGAAAGCCUGCCGGAGCAACGCCGCGUGAGUGAUGAAGGUCUUCGGAUCGUAAAACUCUGUUAUUAGGGAAGAACAAAUGUGUAAGUAACUAUGCACGUCUUGGCGGUACCUAAUCAGAAAGCCACGGCUAACUACGUG
Molecule: ribosomal RNA, 497 nt
Filed under: uncultured bacterium
Lineage: Bacteria
Description: partial 16S ribosomal RNA
Rfam family: Bacterial small subunit ribosomal RNA
Source: RNAcentral